Molecule: ribosomal RNA, 274 nt
Filed under: uncultured bacterium
Lineage: Bacteria
Description: partial 16S ribosomal RNA
Rfam family: Bacterial small subunit ribosomal RNA
Source: RNAcentral
AUACGGAGGGUGCAAGCGUUAAUCGGAAUUACUGGGCGUAAAGCGCGCGUAGGCGGCUUUGUAAGUCGGAUGUGAAAGCCCUGGGCUUAACCUGGGAAUGGCAUUCGAUACUGCAGAGCUAGAGUAUGGUAGAGGGAAGUGGAAUUUCCGGUGUAGCGGUGAAAUGCGUAGAUAUCGGAAGGAACACCAGUGGCGAAGGCGACUUCCUGGGCCAAUACUGACGCUGAGGUGCGAAAGCGUGGGGAGCAAACAGGAUUAGAAACCCCGGUAGUCC